AAUCAACGCUGGCGGCGUGCCUAACACAUGCAAGUCGCACGAGAAAGGGGACUUCGGUCCCUGAGUACAGUGGCGCACGGGUGAGUAACACGUGAAUCAUCUACCUUCGAGUGGGGAAUAACUGAGAGAAAUCUUAGCCAAUACCGCAUAAUACCUACGGGUCAAAGCAGCAAUGCGCUUGAAGAGGAGUUCGCGGCAGAUUAGUUAGUUGGCGGGGUAAUGGCCCACCAAGACGAUGAUCUGUAUCCGGCCUGAGAGGGCGCACGGACACACUGGAACUGAAACACGGUCCAGACUCCUACGGGAGGCAGCAGUGGGGAAUUUUGCGCAAUGGGGGAAACCCUGACGCAGCAACGCCGCGUGGAGGAUGAAAUCCCUUGGGAUGUAAACUCCUUUCGAUCGGGAAGAUAAUGACGGUACCGAGAGAAGAAGCCCCGGCUAACUUCGUGCCAGCAGCCGCGGUAAUACGAGGGGGGCAAGCGUUGUUCGGAAUUAUUGGGCGUAAAGGGUGCGUAGGCGGUUUGAUAAGUCACAUGUGAAAUCUUCGGGCUCAACCCGAAGUCUGCAUGCGAAACUGUCG
RNAcentral lists this ribosomal RNA (580 nucleotides) under uncultured bacterium. Its description in RNAcentral is "bacterial SSU rRNA". It matches the Rfam family "Bacterial small subunit ribosomal RNA", at positions 28 to 638 of the family's 1533-position model. The record is from RNAcentral.